GGAUGUGAGGGCGAUCUGGCUGCGACAUCUUUCACCCUAUUGAUCGCCAGGGUUGAUUCGGCUGAUCUGGCUGGCUAGGCGGGUUUCCCCCUCCUUCCUCACCGAUCCAGUGUCGUCCCUCCCGAAGCUGCGCGCUCGGUCGAAGAGGACAGCCUUCCCAUGAGCCAAUCAAGUAGAGACAGGGUUGAAUCAC
This 193-nucleotide small nuclear RNA is filed under the name Myotis brandtii (Brandt's bat). Its description in RNAcentral is "7SK RNA". It matches the Rfam family "7SK RNA", at positions 1 to 187 of the family's 331-position model. Rfam says of the family: 7SK was discovered as an abundant small nuclear RNA in the mid-70s but a possible function has only recently been suggested. Two independent studies have found that 7SK RNA binds the CDK9/cyclin T complex (known as elongation factor P-TEFb). The record is from Rfam by way of RNAcentral. Lineage: Eukaryota; Metazoa; Chordata; Mammalia; Chiroptera; Vespertilionidae.